This 72-nucleotide transfer RNA is filed under the name Sus scrofa (pig). It matches the Rfam family "tRNA". From Rfam's summary of the family: Transfer RNA (tRNA) molecules are approximately 80 nucleotides in length. Lineage: Eukaryota; Metazoa; Chordata; Mammalia; Artiodactyla; Suidae. The record is from Rfam by way of RNAcentral.
UCCCUGGUGGUCUAGUGGUCAGAAUUCGGUGCUUUUAUGACUGUGGCCCAGGUUCAAUCCCUGGUCUGGGAC